Molecule: ribosomal RNA, 590 nt
Filed under: uncultured fungus
Lineage: Eukaryota; Fungi
Description: eukaryotic LSU rRNA
Rfam family: 5.8S ribosomal RNA (bases 168-319)
Source: RNAcentral
UCCGUAGGUGAACCUGCGGAAGGAUCAUUAACACUAAUCCAAUUAACUCAACCUAGCCUUCAGUUGCAGCCGCAGUAUUUGCUAGCGUAAGCAGGCAGUGCCGCAGCUGCAGCAACUAACAAACUUAUCAUACAAAGGAGCCUAACUAAGCUCAACAAUUAAAACCAAAUUCUCAACGAUGGAUAUCUUGGUUCCCAUAACGAUGAAGAACGCAGCGAAGUGCGAUAAGCAAUGCGAAUUGCAGAACCGUGAGUCAUCAGAUUUUUGAACGCAACUGGCGCUGGCUGGGUCUCCAGCCAGCAUGCUUGUUUCAGUGUCUUGUUUUCUCCUCACCCAAAACUUAAUGCGAGAGAUACCCUUCUCUUGUCAAGCAUGAAAGCACUCUGUUUCUGCCAGCGAUUCUUGACUUGUUCAGGAGUCGCACUCAAUGCAGACGUCACAUUUCUUUUAAUGUGAACUCAUUGGGAGUAGGAAUUGUCAGCUAACGCUGUCAGUGCUUAGUCACUUAAACUUUCUUUGGCAUCUGGAAAUCAAGGCAGGGGGAUCACCCGGCUGGAACUUAAGGCAUAUCAAUAAGGCGGGGAGGGGAA